Molecule: long non-coding RNA, 211 nt
Organism: Thunnus maccoyii (southern bluefin tuna)
Lineage: Eukaryota; Metazoa; Chordata; Actinopteri; Scombriformes; Scombridae
Exons: 3
Source: RefSeq, a predicted model, not a curated record
GAAGUAUUCUAGUGUCCAUCAGGCCUGAACCACUGAAACCAAAGUCAACACAACGUCAUCCUAAUGUGCUGGGCUAUGCCAUGUAGAUGAAGGAUCUCCACCAGCUCCGUCUGCAGCUGAGCGUUGUUGAUGCGCUUCCUCAUCUUCAUGAUCUGGAUUAUGGCCUCCUGGACGUGGGAACGGAAAGAAUGGCGUGCAGGUGCAGUUGUGU